This 69-nucleotide transfer RNA is filed under the name Mesoplodon grayi (Gray's beaked whale). RNAcentral describes it as "tRNA-Pro". The record is from RNAcentral. Lineage: Eukaryota; Metazoa; Chordata; Mammalia; Artiodactyla; Ziphiidae.
UCAGGGAAUAGUUUAUGUAGAAUUUCAGCUUUGGGUGUUGAUGGUGAAGCGUAAUGCUUCUUCCCUGAA